This is a long non-coding RNA of Symphalangus syndactylus (siamang), 602 nucleotides long. RefSeq lists it as uncharacterized. The record is from RefSeq and is a predicted model, not a curated record. NCBI's taxonomy places the organism in Eukaryota, Metazoa, Chordata, Mammalia, Primates, Hylobatidae.
GCGCGCCGCCGUCAUGGGUCAAAAACGCAAUGCGCGGAGCGGCCUUUGCUCUCACCAGGGUCGACCCGCUGCAAGGGAACUGAUUGGAGACGCUGCGCCUGCUCAGAAGGUAGCGCAGCUGGGAAAGGCGGGAGAGCGUUAACUUCUGAGCCUGCGCGGUGGGAGUUGCUCAAGCAGGUGGUAGCGACUUGGCUUCCGGGCAGCGGGGAAAGGUACAGAGUAUGAUGACAGAGAGAGCCUACUGUAUGCCAGAUACUUAACAGAAGGAAUGUAGUUUACAUGUAAACUCUGGGAAAAGUGGAGCCAAAUGAUUACACUGUGUAUAUCCUUUAGCACUGUUUGGGGUGGGGACAUGGGGGGUCAGUGCGCAGAGAGGGACUGUUCUGGUCUCCUUGGAAGGUAUGUGCCUAUAGUAAAAAGCAUGAGUAAGAUAUCACAUCUCCUAACUCCGUAACAACCAAGCAAACUUAUAACAGCAUUUUAACUUCUAUCACCUUUUUUAUAGGAGCGGAUAUAUAUUCCAGCAGCAUGAGUAUUUUAGCCCUCUUUGCAAUUGCAGUCUUCAUUCAUUAUCAUCAAUAAACUGGCCUCUGGUUGAUUGA